This is a non-coding RNA of Salmo salar (Atlantic salmon), 144 nucleotides long. Lineage: Eukaryota; Metazoa; Chordata; Actinopteri; Salmoniformes; Salmonidae. The record is from RefSeq and is a predicted model, not a curated record.
CCUCAACUCAUUCUACACCUCUGAAGAUGAGUCCAACCUUUUUCUUCCCAAGUUGCCAACUCUUCCCAAGAGCGAGGAGAAGUCAGACGAGAUCCUGAACCUUAUGGGAGAAGGGAAAAAUCAGGUCAGCUGACAACGACCCGG